UUUCCGUAGGUGAACCUGCGGAAGGAUCAUUAACGAGUUAGGUUCUUCCAGGCCCGACCUCCCAACCCUAUGUUUAUUGAACCUCUGUUGCUUCGGCGGACCCGUCUCACGACCGCCGGAGGACCGCCGCGAGGCGUCCUCUGGCCAGCGUCCGCCGAUGGCCAACCACUUAACUCUGAGUGAAUCGUGUCAUUAUGUCUAAGUCUAUGAUUAAAUUAAAGCAAAACUUUCAACAACGGAUCUCUUGGUUCUG
Molecule: unclassified non-coding RNA, 253 nt
Filed under: plant metagenome
Description: partial contains small subunit ribosomal RNA, internal transcribed spacer 1, and 5.8S ribosomal RNA
Source: RNAcentral